UACGGGGGGGGCAAGCGUUGUUCGGAAUUACUGGGCGUAAAGGGCCAGUAGGCGGCCAACUAAGUCCGACGUGAAAUCCCAAGGCUUAACCUUGGAACUGCGUCGGAUACUGGAUGGCUUGAAUUCGGGAGAGGGAUGCAGAAUUCCAGGUGUAGCGGUGAAAUGCGUAGAUAUCGAGAGGAACACCUGCGGCGAAGGCGUGUUGCUGGGCUGAUACUGACGCUGAGGCGCGAAAGCUAGGGGAGCGAACGGG
This 253-nucleotide ribosomal RNA is filed under the name uncultured bacterium. RNAcentral's name for it is "partial 16S ribosomal RNA". It matches the Rfam family "Bacterial small subunit ribosomal RNA", at positions 524 to 776 of the family's 1533-position model. The record is from RNAcentral.